RNAcentral lists this small nuclear RNA (225 nucleotides) under Tinamus guttatus (white-throated tinamou). RNAcentral describes it as "7SK RNA". It matches the Rfam family "7SK RNA". Rfam says of the family: 7SK was discovered as an abundant small nuclear RNA in the mid-70s but a possible function has only recently been suggested. Two independent studies have found that 7SK RNA binds the CDK9/cyclin T complex (known as elongation factor P-TEFb). The record is from Rfam by way of RNAcentral. Lineage: Eukaryota; Metazoa; Chordata; Aves; Tinamiformes; Tinamidae.
AGAUGUCCCAAAGUGUCCUGAAGCUGCACACUUGGUCGAAGAAGAUGACCUUCCCCGAUAGAAACAUACUGUUCAUCGGUCAAGGGUAUAUGGUAGUUGCGCUUCCCUGCUAGAACCUCCAAACAAGCUCAAGGUGUUAGUUACUUGUCCUUAGCACCUCGUCAAAAGAAUAUAAAAAACCCACUUCCAUUAUAAGUUUUCUCAUAUGCAAAUUCAAUUGCCUGU